Molecule: long non-coding RNA, 323 nt
Filed under: Androctonus crassicauda
Lineage: Eukaryota; Metazoa; Arthropoda; Arachnida; Scorpiones; Buthidae
Source: RNAcentral
GUUCAUGAUCGGCUUUUGCCUUAGGGGGCUUUCAUUCCGCUCAGACGUCUCCUCUGGUGUGCGGGCCCCAUGGUUGGUUCGGUGUUUUGUGUGGGAUGUGCUUCCAGGGGGGCUGCAGCUCUUUAGUAGGGUGGUCAUUGACUAGCUUCUCCUUUUUGCUUCUAGUAAAGAUUUCCUUGAAGGCUGAUACCACAUCUCUCGCUAAAGCGGCAUGUGAAUAUAAUAUUGAAGUUGAUUGGGCAGGUGCGAGAGUAGUUCGGGGCCUGGAGAAAGACAAGAACGCAAUCCUUGCCGAGUCUAUGGAAAUCUUUACUAGAAGUAAA